CUUCUGAUUGAUAACAUUUGAGUGAGUGGCGGACGGGUGAGUAACACGUGGGUAACCUGCCCAGAAGUAGGGGAUAACACCUGGAAACAGAUGCUAAUACCGUAUAACAGAGAAAACCGCAUGGUUUCUUUUAAAAGAUGGCUCUGCUAUCACUUCUGGAUGGACCCGCGGCGUAUUAGCUAGUUGGUGAGGUAAAGGCUCACCAAGGCAGUGAUACGUAGCCGACCCUGAGAGGGUAAUCGGCCACAUUGGGACUGAGACGCGGCCCAGACUCC
Molecule: ribosomal RNA, 275 nt
Filed under: uncultured Pediococcus sp.
Lineage: Bacteria; Bacillati; Bacillota; Bacilli; Lactobacillales; Lactobacillaceae
Description: partial 16S ribosomal RNA
Rfam family: Bacterial small subunit ribosomal RNA
Source: RNAcentral